UUUGGUUAAGUUAGAAAGGGCGCACGGUGGAUGCCUUGACACUAGGAGUCGAUGAAGGACGGGACUAACGCCGAUAUGCUUCGGGGAGCUGUAAGUAAGCUUUGAUCCGAAGAUUUCCGAAUGGGGAAACCCACCAUACGUAAUGGUAUGGUAUCCUUAUCUGAAUACAUAGGGUAAGGAAGACAGACCCAGGGAACUGAAACAUCUAAGUACCUGGAGGAAGAGAAAGCAAAUGCGAUUUCCUGAGUAGCGGCGAGCGAAACGGAACAUAGCCCAAACCAAGAGGCUUGCCUCUUGGGGUUGUAGGACAUUCUAUACGGAGUUACAAAGGAACGAGGUAGACGAAGCGACCUGGAAAGGUCCGUCGUAGAGGGUAACAACCCCGUAGUCGAAACUUCGUUCUCUCUUGAAUGUAUCCUGAGUACGGCGGAACACGUGAAAUUCCGUCGGAAUCUGGGAGGACCAUCUCCCAAGGCUAAAUACUCCCUAGUGAUCGAUAGUGAACCAGUACCGUGAGGGAAAGGUGAAAAGCACCCCGGAAGGGGAGUGAAAGAGAUCCUGAAACCGUGUGCCUACAAAUAGUCAGAGCCCGUUAACGGGUGAUGGCGUGCCUUUUGUAGAAUGAACCGGCGAGUUACGAUCCCGUGCGAGGUUAAGCUGAAGAGGCGGAGCCGCAGCGAAAGCGAGUCUGAAUAGGGCGUUUAGUACGUGGUCGUAGACCCGAAACCAGGUGAUCUACCCAUGUCCAGGGUGAAGUUCAGGUAACACUGAAUGGAGGCCCGAACCCACGCACGUUGAAAAGUGCGGGGAUGAGGUGUGGGUAGCGGAGAAAUUCCAAUCGAACCUGGAGAUAGCUGGUUCUCCCCGAAAUAGCUUUAGGGCUAGCCUUAAGUGUAAGAGUCUUGGAGGUAGAGCACUGAUUGGACUAGGGGUCCUCAUCGGAUUACCGAAUUCAGUCAAACUCCGAAUGCCAAUGACUUAUCCUUAGGAGUCAGACUGCGAGUGAUAAGAUCCGUAGUCAAAAGGGAAACAGCCCAGACCGCCAGCUAAGGUCCCAAAGUGUGUAUUAAGUGGAAAAGGAUGUGGAGUUGCUUAGACAACUAGGAUGUUGGCUUAGAAGCAGCCACCAUUUAAAGAGUGCGUAAUAGCUCACUAGUCGAGUGACUCUGCGCCGAAAAUGUACCGGGGCUAAAUACACCACCGAAGCUGCGGAUUGAUACCAAUGGUAUCAGUGGUAGGGGAGCGUUCUAAGGACAGUGAAGUCAGACCGGAAGGACUGGUGGAGUGCUUAGAAGUGAGAAUGCCGGUAUGAGUAGCGAAAGACGGGUGAGAAUCCCGUCCACCGAAUGCCUAAGGUUUCCUGAGGAAGGCUCGUCCGCUCAGGGUUAGUCAGGACCUAAGCCGAGGCCGACAGGCGUAGGCGAUGGACAACAGGUUGAUAUUCCUGUACCACCUCUUUAUCGUUUGAGCAAUGGAGGGACGCAGAAGGAUAGAAGAAGCGUGCGAUUGGUUGUGCACGUCCAAGCAGUUAGGCUGAUAAGUAGGCAAAUCCGCUUAUCGUGAAGGCUGAGCUGUGAUGGGGAAGCUCCUUAUGGAGCGAAGUCUUUGAUUCCCCGCUGCCAAGAAAAGCUUCUAGCGAGAUAAAAGGUGCCUGUACCGCAAACCGACACAGGUAGGCGAGGAGAGAAUCCUAAGGUGUGCGAGAGAACUCUGGUUAAGGAACUCGGCAAAAUGACCCCGUAACUUCGGGAGAAGGGGUGCUUUCUUAACGGAAAGCCGCAGUGAAUAGGCCCAAGCGACUGUUUAGCAAAAACACAGCUCUCUGCGAAGCCGUAAGGCGAAGUAUAGGGGGUGACACCUGCCCGGUGCUGGAAGGUUAAGGAGAGGGGUUAGCGUAAGCGAAGCUCUGAACUGAAGCCCCAGUAAACGGCGGCCGUAACUAUAACGGUCCUAAGGUAGCGAAAUUCCUUGUCGGGUAAGUUCCGACCCGCACGAAAGGUGUAACGAUUUGGGUACUGUCUCAACCAGAGACUCGGUGAAAUUAUAGUACCUGUGAAGAUGCAGGUUACCCGCGACAGGACGGAAAGACCCCGUGGAGCUUUACUGUAGCCUGAUAUUGAAUUUUGGUACAGUUUGUACAGGAUAGGCGGGAGCCUUUGAAACCGGAGCGCUAGCUUCGGUGGAGGCGCUGGUGGGAUACCGCCCUGACUGUAUUGAAAUUCUAACCUACGGGUCUUAUCGACCCGGGAGACAGUGUCAGGUGGGCAGUUUGACUGGGGCGGUCGCCUCCUAAAGUGUAACGGAGGCGCCCAAAGGUUCCCUCAGAAUGGUUGGAAAUCAUUCGUAGAGUGCAAAGGCAUAAGGGAGCUUGACUGCGAGACCUACAAGUCGAGCAGGGACGAAAGUCGGGCUUAGUGAUCCGGUGGUUCCGCAUGGAAGGGCCAUCGCUCAACGGAUAAAAGCUACCCCGGGGAUAACAGGCUUAUCUCCCCCAAGAGUCCACAUCGACGGGGAGGUUUGGCACCUCGAUGUCGGCUCAUCGCAUCCUGGGGCUGUAGUCGGUCCCAAGGGUUGGGCUGUUCGCCCAUUAAAGCGGUACGCGAGCUGGGUUCAGAACGUCGUGAGACAGUUCGGUCCCUAUCCGUCGUGGGCGUAGGAAAUUUGAGAGGAGCUGUCCUUAGUACGAGAGGACCGGGAUGGACGCACCGCUGGUGUACCAGUUGUUCUGCCAAGGGCAUAGCUGGGUAGCUAUGUGCGGAAGGGAUAAGUGCUGAAAGCAUCUAAGCAUGAAGCCCCCCUCAAGAUGAGAUUUCCCAUAGCGUAAGCUAGUAAGAUCCCUGAAAGAUGAUCAGGUUGAUAGGUUCGAGGUGGAAGCAUGGUGACAUGUGGAGCUGACGAAUACUAAUAGAUCGAGGACUUAACCAUAUAA
This 2929-nucleotide ribosomal RNA is filed under the name Bacillus thuringiensis LM1212. RNAcentral's name for it is "bacterial LSU rRNA". It matches the Rfam family "Bacterial large subunit ribosomal RNA". The record is from RNAcentral. RNAcentral also lists the same sequence under 1 other name. Lineage: Bacteria; Bacillati; Bacillota; Bacilli; Caryophanales; Bacillaceae.